CCUAAAGCGUCGACCCUUCCUUUCUUCGUGUCUUCUUCUCCCGAAAUCGCUGACCAGCCACGCGACGGCAUCUCCGCACGAGAGAUCACGACGAUGGUUAGUCCGCCGAUCUCCGAAGCUUCUUAGCCUCCACCCCUUGUCAACAGCAUCACCGGAGGCUCUCCUCUUCGGAUUACUGCCUCGUGCAAGGACCAACGGGCAGGAGGAGCAGAUCCGAACUCCGGAGAUCCGGAGGGAGUAUCGCCGGUUCCGGAGAUCAAGGGUGGCGAGGAUUGGUACCCCGACAGCUAUCUCGCCUUCCCGGGUUAUAGUACUGAGCUGAGUUCAUCGGAUUUCGCCUCACCGCCGGUGGUUUAAGCUGUCGCUGAGGUAUUAGAGUGGCUUACAGUGAGGGGCUCGGCCACAACUUCCAGCCAUUGUUCUUCAUCCAGGAAGCGUUAGAUCUAUAGGAGCUCUGGUCGGUGGAUUUGCGGCAGCAGGCAGCACCAGUGAGCUAUUGCUGGAGAUUACACCUCCUGACAGUGGGUUGACAGUGGGGAGUUCUCAUAAGUAAUUUCACCAGGUAGCCGAUAGCGAUGCUAGUACACUUGGAGGGAUCCCGACUGCCAGUCCCACGUCGCUUCCGAGGACGGAUUUUCGGUUUUGUUUAGAUUUCUAGUUGUGAGUUGAACUUUUGAAUUUGGUAUUGUAAUAACCCUUUUUGGGACUUGAUGUUAUUCUGUGAUUGGUUUUGCUUUGUCGAGGAGUCAAGUCUAGCCGGCCCGCGGUGAGUUCUUUUGGUAUUAUGGUACUUGCUAUUUCAUUUUCCGUUGUGUUUGAUUUACCAGCCGAGUGGGCUGCUUAUUAUCUGCGUGGUUGUGUUUAGUUAUUGCCGUGUUGGCUAUAUUUUGCAUGUGUAUAUCUAUUGGCUAUGUAUAUUGGUUUAUAUGUCACUGCUACAGGGGAGGUGCUGUCCGAUUUUCGUCGGACAACCUUACUCUCGGGGCGUGACAGAAAUGGUCCCUCAACCGCACGCCAAGCUAAAGGAGCUAAUCACCAAACUCACGAAUUUUGAAGAAAAAGUAAUCAAUCAAGAUUCACUAAGGCCAAGAAAAGAAGAAAAAGGAAAGUAAGAUGCUAUCACUGCAAUGAAGAAGGGUACCUCAAAGAUAACUACUCAAAACUGAAGAACAAGGAUAAGGACAAAAGUUCAACCCAGAAAAAGUACAAAAACUUAAAGGCAACAUGGGACAAAAUAUUGUCAUCGGAGUUAGAGAUUGAAACCCACACCGGACUUGUGUUGAUGACAAGUCACCAAGAAGAUGACGAAGCAAACUUAUCCGAAAUGAGCAUCAAGAGCAUCAAUGAAGAGGGAGCAAUGC
Long non-coding RNA from Zingiber officinale, 1361 nucleotides. RefSeq lists it as uncharacterized. Lineage: Eukaryota; Viridiplantae; Streptophyta; Magnoliopsida; Zingiberales; Zingiberaceae. The record is from RefSeq and is a predicted model, not a curated record. The transcript is spliced from 5 exons.